Molecule: ribosomal RNA, 839 nt
Filed under: uncultured Sebacinaceae
Lineage: Eukaryota; Fungi; Basidiomycota; Agaricomycetes; Sebacinales; Sebacinaceae
Description: eukaryotic LSU rRNA
Rfam family: Eukaryotic large subunit ribosomal RNA (bases 188-839)
Source: RNAcentral
GCUUUUGCUGAUGGAUGUGGACCUGGACUUUGUUGUGUUACUACAACUGGUCUGAAAUGGAUGAGUGCACCCUGCUGUUGCAGCGUCUUCAGUGUGAUAAGCAUCUUCACUGAUUCAAGUUCCUUCCGGACACGUGUGCAUUGUGGGCUCUGUGCUGGCAAACCGUCUUUGGACAAUCUUGACAAUUUGACCUCAGAUCGGGUGGGACUACCCGCUGAACUUAAGCAUAUCAAUAAGCGGAGGAAAAGAAACUAACAAGGAUUCCCCUAGUAACGGCGAGUGAAGAGGGAAAAGCUCAAAUUUUGAAUCUGGUGUCUUUGGCGCCCGAGUUGUAAUCUAGAGAAGUGUUUUCUGCCUCGGACCACACAUAAAUUCCCUGGAAUGGGGUGUCAUAGAGGGUGAGAAUCCCGUUUGUGGUGUGGACUACCUUGGCUCUGUGAUACACUCUCAACGAGUCGAGUUGUUUGGGAAUGCAGCUCAAAAUGGGUGGUAAAUUCCAUCUAAAGCUAAAUAUUGGCGAGAGACCGAUAGCGAACAAGUACCGUGAGGGAAAGAUGAAAAGCACUUUGGAAAGAGAGUGAAACAGUACGUGAAAUUGUUGAAAGGGAAGCGUUUGAAGUCAGUCACAUUGGUCGGAAUUCAGCCUGGCUUCUGCCUGGUGUACUUUCUGGCAAAUGGGUCAGCGUCAAUUUUGACCGAGAGAGAAAGACUUGAGGAAUGUGGCUGUCUUYGGGCAGUGUUAUAGCCUCUUGUUGUAUGUCUCGGUUGGGAUUGAGGAUCGCAGCACGCCUUAUGGCCGGGGUUCGCCCUCGGAACGUGCUUAGGACGCUGGCAUAAUG